GCGGGAAUAGCUCGCCAGAGCACGACCUGCUAAGGUCGGGGUCGCGAGUUCGAGUCUCGUUUCCGCUCCA
This 70-nucleotide transfer RNA is filed under the name Salmonella enterica subsp. enterica. Its description in RNAcentral is "tRNA-OTHER". It matches the Rfam family "tRNA". Rfam says of the family: Transfer RNA (tRNA) molecules are approximately 80 nucleotides in length. Their secondary structure includes four short double-helical elements and three loops (D, anti-codon, and T loops). Lineage: Bacteria; Pseudomonadati; Pseudomonadota; Gammaproteobacteria; Enterobacterales; Enterobacteriaceae. The record is from RNAcentral.